AGAGUUUGAUCCUGGCUCAGGAUGAACGCUAGCUACAGGCUUAACACAUGCAAGUCGAGGGGAAACGGACAUCGAAAGCUUGCUUUUGAUGGGCGUCGACCGGCGCACAGGUGAGUAACGCGUAUCCAACCUGCCCACCACUUGGGGAUAACCUUGCGAAAGUAAGACUAAUACCCAAUGACGUCUCUAGAAGACAUCUGAAAGAGAUUAAAGAUUUAUCGGUGAUGGAUGGGGAUGCGUCUGAUUAGCUUGUUGGCGGGGUAACGGCCACCAAGGCUACGAUCAGUAGGGGUUCUGAGAGGAAGGUCCCCCANAUUGGAACUGAGACACGGUCCAAACUCCGUACGGGAGGCA
RNAcentral lists this ribosomal RNA (354 nucleotides) under uncultured bacterium. RNAcentral's name for it is "bacterial SSU rRNA". It matches the Rfam family "Bacterial small subunit ribosomal RNA", at positions 8 to 350 of the family's 1533-position model. The record is from RNAcentral.